RNAcentral lists this ribosomal RNA (269 nucleotides) under uncultured prokaryote. Its description in RNAcentral is "partial 16S ribosomal RNA". It matches the Rfam family "Bacterial small subunit ribosomal RNA", at positions 524 to 792 of the family's 1533-position model. The record is from RNAcentral.
UACGGAGGAUCCGAGCGUUAUCCGGAUUUAUUGGGUUUAAAGGGUGCGCAGGCGGGGGAUUAAGUCGGCGGUGAAAUUUUGCAGCUCAACUGUAAAAGUGCCUUCGAAACUGGUUUCCUUGAGUGUAGAUGAAGUAGGCGGAAUUUGUGGUGUAGCGGUGAAAUGCAUAGAUAUCACGAGGAACUCCGAUUGCGCAGGCAGCUUACUAAACUACUACUGACGCUCAUGCACGAAGGCGUGGGGAUCAAACAGGAUUAGAUACCCGCGUA